This 339-nucleotide long non-coding RNA is filed under the name Brassica rapa (field mustard). Its description in RNAcentral is "long non-coding RNA (BRAP_LNC007923)". The record is from RNAcentral. Lineage: Eukaryota; Viridiplantae; Streptophyta; Magnoliopsida; Brassicales; Brassicaceae.
GUGUUUAUCCGAAGCACUCGAGAGAAGAAAAGUUAGCUCCGAGUGGCCUCUUAUGGGGCUGCCUUUGGAGCAGUAGAGGGCAUGCUCCUCGUCCUUAUUGCUAAAGAAGAAGAUGAAACGUCGAGGGGAAUAUUAUGGGUCCUGCAUGUAGGAGACAAUUCGUUAGGUACACGUACGCCAUCUCUUUGCAUGGAAAGAAUGGCGGUGGCUCUAGAGACGGUGAAAGUGCUCUGUUAAAACAUUUCCGGACCGGCUCCAGUGCUGGUACUAUUCUAAGAAAAUUAUGAUUCUCAAAUUUACAUGGAUAUAUAUAUAUAUAUAUAUAUAUAUAUGCUUUGU